GGUAUGAGUACCUGUAGGUACUGAAGAGAUGAUCCUGUGAAGUACGCUGAGCAGGCGGGGAAGUCAGACAAGGAAGAGGGAAAGUCAGUCAACUGUUGGACAGAAUAUGCGCCACCCACUCCCUCUCCUCCGUGGUCGAGGAUUCACAGGCCCGGUGUACGAGCACCAGGGUGCUAAGUCAGAGACUUGCUGAGUCACCCUGGCCACUUCGUCAUUCAGCGCUUGCUCUGUGCCAAAGGCUCCCCAGCGGGAAUGGACAUGGGACACAUGGCUAGGCUGAGGCAUGCACUGUGCCGUCACUGAGAGCAGUUUGGAUCGGGGAUCAGAGGUCAGAGGGAGCACCUCUCUUGCUGGCAGCAGGAAGAAGAGAGUGGUGGAUUCGCCUGGGAGAAGACGCGUGGGCUGCCACCACCGUGGAACUUCAGUACCAAUAACGGCAGAAAGACCUGGACUCGUUCUCCUGAGGCCCACCCAGCUGCAAGGUUGAACGGAUGCAACCUUGACAGAACUGAUCAGUAAAAGAAAUCUACCCAGAACCUAGAAAGAGGGGCUUACACCUCAAUUUUGAAAUUGUUCUUACAGAUCUUAAAAGACCUGGCCAUCAAGUAAAAGUGAUUGGUAGCAUAAUUUCUAGCAGAAAGGAGACUUAUGGUUCAUGAAGCUAAAAUCACGGAAGUUCAAAAUAGGAGAUUACCCGGACACAGGGAAAACUGCUCCAAAGCAGGCACCACCUCCUUCAGGGCACAUAAGACCAUUUAUCAGGCAUAGUGGCACAGACCAGCCGAACGCUCACAUUACCGCACUCCCGAGGGUGAACAGCCUCCUGUGCCCAUCACCCUCUCUGGGCCGCAGGCUGCCUCAGGCCACCCGUCCCCUGAGCAGUGACCACCCGGAAGGCACCUGCCUCUGCCGCCGCAGAUUCCCACCCCUCUGCAGUUCAGUGUGAGCGCGGAGCUGGUUGGGUUGGGAAUAGGGGAAGCCUCCCUUCCCGCAGCGUGUAGCGGGCAGCAUCGGAGAUGGGGGGAAGAAGGGGCGGCGGCCGGAGGUCCAAGGGAAGCAACGCCCUCCUUUGCGCUGCAUCGGUGGCCGCUCCAACCCUGGGUGUGGCCUUGUCGGGGCAGGUUUCUCCGGAGCUGCUGAACCCUGCCACUUUGAAAUAGGGGGAAGGGGACUCCUGCUGGCGUCCUCAGCACUUCAAGGGGCGAAAUGUUACUGAACAUACGAAUAAAAUUCCC
RNAcentral lists this long non-coding RNA (1235 nucleotides) under Capra hircus (goat). RNAcentral describes it as "lncRNA (ENSCHIG00000001131.1)". The record is from RNAcentral. Lineage: Eukaryota; Metazoa; Chordata; Mammalia; Artiodactyla; Bovidae.